Molecule: ribosomal RNA, 1235 nt
Filed under: metagenome
Description: SSU rRNA
Rfam family: Eukaryotic small subunit ribosomal RNA
Source: RNAcentral
AUUGGGUUCCGGCAUUGGAAUGAGAACAAUAUAAAUCUUUUAACGAGGAUCUAGUGGAGGGCAAGUCUGGUGCCAGCAGCCGCGGUAAUUCCAGCUCCGCAAGUGUAUAUCUAUGUUGCUGCGGUUAAAAAGCUCGUAGUUGGAUCUGCGUGUUUAGCGUCCGGUUCGACUUUUGGUCGUUACUGGAACGCGACACAGAUGUGCUGGUUUGCCGUUGAUGCUCUUAACCGGGUGUCAGUGGCGGCUAGCGAGUUUACUUUGAAAAAAUUAGAGUGCUCAAAACAGGCGUUUCGCCUGAAUAUUUCUGCAUGGAAUAAUAGAAUAGGACUUCGAUUCUAUUCUGUUGGUUUUCGGAAUGCGAAGUAAUGAUUAAGAGGGACAGACGGGGGCAUUCGUACUGCGACGUUAGAGGUGAAAUUCUUGGAUCGUCGCAAGACGUACUACUGCGAAGGCAUUUGCCAAGAAUGUUUUCAUUAAUCAAGAACGAAAGUUAUGGGUUCGAAGGCGAUCAGAUACCGCCCUAGUCAUAACCGUAAACGAUUCAAACUGGGCGCCCGACGGUGUUUUUAUUGACCCGUCGGGAACCCUCCCGGAAACGAAAGUGUUCGUGUUCCGGGGGAAAUAUGUCUGCAAAGAGGAAACUUAAAGGAAUUGACGGAAGGGCACCACCAGGGGUGGAGCCUGCGGCUUAAUUUGACCCAACACGGGGAAACUCACCCGGCCCGGACACCGUAAGGAUUGACAGAUUGAGAGCUCUUUCUUGAUUCGGUGGGUGGUGGUGCAUGGCCGUUCUUAGUUGGUGGAGUGAUUUGUCUGGUUUAUUCCGAUAACGAACGAGACUCUGGCCUGCUAACUAGUGUUCACAUCUUUACGUGUGCUUCGCUUCUUAGAGGGACAGGCGGCUUCCAGCCGCAUGAAGAAGAGCAAUAACAGGUCUGUGAUGCCCUUAGAUGUCCGGGGCUGCACGCGCGCUACACUGAAAGAAUCAGCGUGUACGUUACCUGGCUCGAAAGAGUCGGGUAAUCCGGUGAAAAUCUUUCGUGAUUGGGAUCGGGACUUGCAAUUAUUUCCCUUGAACGAGGAAUCCCUAGUAAGUGCGGGUCAUCAGCUCGCGCUGAUUACGUCCCUGCCCUUUGUACACACCGCCCGUCGCUGCCCGGAACUGAGCCGUUUCGAGAAAAAUGGGGACUGUCUACUUGAGGUCUUCACGGACUUUUUGUAAAUGGAAACCGCUU